Molecule: long non-coding RNA, 1325 nt
Filed under: Mytilus galloprovincialis (Mediterranean mussel)
Lineage: Eukaryota; Metazoa; Mollusca; Bivalvia; Mytilida; Mytilidae
Source: RNAcentral
GUUAAUUUUAGUUUAUUUGUAAUUUCCAAUUAACUUUUUUUUUUUUUUUAGUUGAUGACUAUAAUUAACUUUGUUAUUUGCAUUAAUUAAUAGUCAUUUCAAUGAUAUAAGAUACUUUAAACCAAUAUUUCCUUCUCUUUCUGAAACACAUUUUGAUACAGGUUUUUGGUACAAAAGAAAAGUCUUGAAACACAGCUUAGGCCAGGGUUUUUUUAAUUUAUUAGUUUACAGACUUUUCACAUGAAAAAAUAGGGUCUGUCUGUCCUAAAAAAAAACACUGUUUCAACACAGAAAAAAUAUGUGUAAAAAAAUAUAUUUCACCUUACUCACAAUAUGUUUGGUAUGCUAUUUUGUCAUCAUUUCUUCAAUUCUAGUUCCAUGAAAUAUUAUUGCUCAGCUUUUAUAAACUGUUAUAAAAUGCAUGCCAUCGUCAUACAAUUUCCAAAAAGGGGGGGGGGGGGUUAUGUCUAUGGACAAUGACCAAAUUAAAUCGUAAUUUCACAAACAAGAAAAUACAGAGCUGCAUAGCUUUUUAUCAAUUUCAGGAAACUUGGUGAAUGAUAUUCAAGCACGAAAACUUAUAUUAUAAAAUUGCAAACACUUUGUACGAAAUUAAGCUUUACCAUUCGUGUCAAAAACAUAAUGGACUCCUCAACUGGAAAGACGAGGAUAUCAGAUUCAAUGCAUUCCAGUUUUUGAUAUCCAAAUGGACAAAUUUUUUUUAUUAUCUAUGAAACAUGAAAAUUCUAAAUUAUUUGUGAAUAUUUUCUACUUUAACUUGACGUCUUCGAAUUCGACAUUUGGAAAAGGUCCAUUUCAUCUAUGAGAUGAUACAUCUUACAGAAUUAUAACAAAACAGGGAAACGAAAUUAUUGUAAUGGGUUUUAAACACAGGUUUCGCUCAACAAAAUUAUUUGUGCUAACAACAUUUCAAGGUCAGGUAUGAUUGACUUGUCUAUUUUUAGAUAUGUAAACAUACAUAUGUUUUUUUGAAUUUUCAUUUUUUCACAUCACAAUGUGAUAUCAAUUACGAUAUUUAAAAAGGGUUUAAAUGCACUUCAUUUUAUUAAAAAGAUAAUUUUAUAUUUCGAGGAUAAUGUAUUUGUUAGGGUCGGUGGGAAUAAAAAAGCACAAAAUGCCACAUUUAUUUUUAUUUUCUGCAAAUCAGAAAAAUAGGGUUGGCGGAUCCUUUAACCAUCAAAUUAAAAAAACCUGGCCUUAUUAUUAUAUAUAGGUCAAAGUUAUGAAUAUAUCUAAAAGAAGGAAAAUGAACACAAAAAAAAUAAAAAUUUAAAAGUGUGAAAAAAUUAUUUUCAAUUAUGGCG